CUACUUACCUGGACGGGGUCAACGGGCGAUCAAGAAGGGCCCGUGGCCUAGGCCAAUGCCCCACAUUGCACUUGGUGGGCGCGUUGGCUUACCAUCUCCCCAAGUGGGAGAGUGGACGUCAUAAUUUGUGAUAGAGGGGGUACGCGUUCGCGCGGCCCCUGC
Molecule: small nuclear RNA, 162 nt
Filed under: Oryza nivara
Lineage: Eukaryota; Viridiplantae; Streptophyta; Magnoliopsida; Poales; Poaceae
Description: snRNA U1
Rfam family: U1 spliceosomal RNA
About the family: U1 is a small nuclear RNA (snRNA) component of the spliceosome (involved in pre-mRNA splicing). Its 5' end forms complementary base pairs with the 5' splice junction, thus defining the 5' donor site of an intron.
Source: RNAcentral